This 397-nucleotide ribosomal RNA is filed under the name Acanthamoeba sp. RNAcentral's name for it is "SSU rRNA". It matches the Rfam family "Eukaryotic small subunit ribosomal RNA", at positions 769 to 1096 of the family's 1831-position model. Lineage: Eukaryota; Discosea; Longamoebia; Acanthamoebidae. The record is from RNAcentral.
UAAAGUUUAAACCGGGGGAAGAUUUUUUUUCUUGCCACCGAAUACAUUAGCAUGGGAUAAUGGAAUAGGACCCUGACCUCCUAUUUUCAGUUGGUUUUGUUUACAGCGAGGUUAUAUCAGGGUAAUGAUUAAUAGGGAUAGUUGGGGGCAUUAAUAUUUAAUUGUCAGAGGUGAAAUUCUUGGAUUUAUGAAAGAUUAACUUCUGCGAAAGCGUUUGCCAAGGAUGUUUUCAUUAAUCAAGAACGAAAGUUAGGGGAUCGAAGACGAUCAGAUACCGUCGUAGUCUUAACCAUAAACGAUGCCGACCAGCGAUUAGGAGACGUUGAAUACAAAACACCGCCGUUAAUCCUUUCGGGGGUUAAUGGUUGGUGAAUGACUCCCUAGCAGCUUGUGAGAA